UUUCCUUGGUAAUGCAAUCCAAUCCAAUCUCUACGCGGAUUCAGCCAGAGUCCUCCUCCAACUCCCAACUUCUCCGCCGCGCCUACAAAUACCCUGCCCUGUAGUCUCUAGUCUCGACAUACGAUCAAGCAACCAUGGCGGCGAAGGACGGCGACGGCGACGACGAGUACCUGCAGAUGGUGCGAGUUCAGCUGGCCAGCGCGGAAGCUCGCAUGGACGCGAUCCAGGAAGCCGUGGCGAGGAACCGGGAGCGGCUAGCAACGGCGGAGAUGGUCGUCGC
Molecule: long non-coding RNA, 280 nt
Filed under: Brachypodium distachyon (stiff brome)
Lineage: Eukaryota; Viridiplantae; Streptophyta; Magnoliopsida; Poales; Poaceae
Description: long non-coding RNA (BDIS_LNC001204)
Source: RNAcentral